RNAcentral lists this long non-coding RNA (1107 nucleotides) under Monodelphis domestica (gray short-tailed opossum). RNAcentral describes it as "lncRNA (ENSMODG00000038711.1)". Lineage: Eukaryota; Metazoa; Chordata; Mammalia; Didelphimorphia; Didelphidae. The record is from RNAcentral.
AACAGAGCAAGUUGGAGAGAUAAACCAGCUUCUUCCUUCCCUGAUUCAAAGGCAACCAGGAAAUCAAUCAGGUCCCUGAUUCAAAGGCCACCAGCCUCAGCCAAGUCCCCAGAAUACAGCCAGCAGUUGGUCUGGCUCCAAACUGCCUUUCCUGGUAACACUCCAAAUCAGAAUCUUCAUUUGAUUGACAGUGAGGUCACCACUCAGCCACUGCUUCUUGUCUUGCUGCAGGCCUUUCCAAUAUCUCUCUCUUCCACAACACCGAAGCUUACCUCCAUUCCUGUGUUAAAGGGAGAAUUCUCCAGCAAUUUCCCCGUGCCUGAUUUUGGCUCAAGUGUCUGGUCUCAGACUGAGCAUUCUACAGAGGCAUCCUGGUUGGCCUCCUUUGGAGGUUUUCCCUUAUGACUAGAAUAUUCUUUCUCUGAGCAAGUCACAGGGAUUUACCCUGGGAAGAUAACCUGUAUUUAGAUUAUGGAAUGCUUCAGAUGACAAAAAGAAGAGUCUGUAUCAUAUGCUAAAGAGAAUGGUAAAUCACUGAAGAAGCUUGAGCAGUAAUAGAGUAACUCAGUCAGAAGAACAUUUUGGGAAUAUCACCACAGAAGCUAUAAGGAGGUACAGAAAGCCUGGAUCCUCCCAGGGUUGUGAACUUUCUUCUAGUCUGACCCACCCCAUUAGCAUGACUGGAAUACUCCAAACAGAGGACACAGCUCAAGAGCCCUAGGAACAUGAGCCAGAACUAAGGAUUAGGGCUCAGGGUGAAGGAGACUUUGGUUCCUAAGAUGUGAUAGACUAAUAGUUCAGAGAGAGAAUGGAAAGCACAUGGAAAAAAGGGAUAAAAAAAAAGAAAAAAAGAUGAGUCCAUAGAGGAGAUUGUGGUCCUUGGCAUGAGUUUUCUUGGAUUGAUUCUUCUACUCCAUUCGGUGUUGAUGGCUCAGGCAGAAGACACCCUCCCUCAUGGGCUGGUAAGAUUCUUUCUCUGAACAGACUACCCAGACUUCCAUGUGGAGAUAAGAACCUUGUUGGGACUGAUCUGAAAUUCUACGGACCAGACUUUAGAGUGGUAGACUAGGAAAUAAAUUUUCUUCUUCCUUCCUUUCUUAUUUCUUU